Unclassified non-coding RNA from Callithrix jacchus (white-tufted-ear marmoset), 116 nucleotides. It matches the Rfam family "Metazoan signal recognition particle RNA". From Rfam's summary of the family: The signal recognition particle (SRP) is a universally conserved ribonucleoprotein. It is involved in the co-translational targeting of proteins to membranes. NCBI's taxonomy places the organism in Eukaryota, Metazoa, Chordata, Mammalia, Primates, Cebidae. The record is from Ensembl.
GCCGGGUGUGGUGGCUCACGCCUGUAAUCCAAGCAUUUUGGAGGCCAAGGUGGGCGGAUCACCUGAGGUCGGGAAUUCAAGACCAGCCUGACCAACAUGGUGAAACCCUGUCUUUA